Long non-coding RNA from Caretta caretta (loggerhead turtle), 1400 nucleotides. RefSeq lists it as uncharacterized. The record is from RefSeq and is a predicted model, not a curated record. Lineage: Eukaryota; Metazoa; Chordata; Testudines; Cheloniidae.
UCACAAUAGUCAACAAGGAAAGUUACCAGAGCAUGGACAAGUAUCUUAAUACUGACAAAGGGACAAAUUUUGGAAAUGGUGGUCUGAAAAGCGGAGUGUGUGAAAGGGAAGGGAAGAAGAAUUGAAGAGGUCACCAAGAUUGAGCCUGGGUGAUUGAAAGAGUGGUGUUAUUUUAACUGGGUUUUUAUCUGUCACCACUGUUACACAGAAUUCAACUGUUAUCUAGUCCCUAUGAAUGGUCUCAGUUUAGAAAGACAAGAAAGAAAAAACACUUACGAAAAAUGCAAAAAUGCUCAUUAAUACUAUUAGAAUCUAAAGAACCCUCUGACACAUCUGUAGCAAACGCUUUUAAUGUUUACACUCAGUUUCACAAAAAAGUAGUGUACUUCUAACGUUGAGAGGUAAGAAUAAUUAAAAUGUAUUCUGAAGGUUUUGGAAGUAUAUUAGAACCUUCAAUGAAUGCCAGUAUAGCCAAAGGUUAAGUACAAGACCUUGCUUGUCAUUGCUGUAAAAGACAGACAAUAUAUACACGUAACUGAUAAGCUCUCUUUAGUUAGAAGCUUCUGAUGACAUUGGCAAACAAAAAACUGCUUGAAUAGCUUUGAGCUAAUGAUAUAGGAAUAUAUUAUUAUAAUGUACAUUUGUUAUGUAGGUGGAGAAGUCCGAGGAAAGGGAUUGCUCCUUAACACUGCCUGCUUCUGAUCUCCUGAUGAAGCUGCACAAAGCAGACUAUCACCUGUUCAUAAUUAACGGAACUGCAUGCUCCAUGGGUGGAGGUCAAGUCAGGCUAGCUCAAACAGCUCACCAAGCGAUCACUUUCUUUUAAAAAAGCUGCUAAAGCAUGAAGUGCAAGAUUAUGAACAAACAGGAAAAUGAAGAUGAAGACGACUGAGUUAGCUACAGAAGCCAAUAUUUUAAGUUUCUCAUGUUGACCUGGCUGAAAUAGUCAAUUUAAUUUUUCUUUUUUAAAUAUUUCAUUUAACUAUUUUAGUUAAACAAUUUUAACAAAAACAAACCUGAUUUUAAAAACUUGAAUACUUAACUAAAUUCAAAAAUUCAUAUGCUUGUUUUGUUAAAAUAUUAUAUGUUUGCUGUUGAAGAAAAAAAUCCAGAAUACAUAACAUUGUUGUUUUAGUUAAAUAAAACAAUUUAAAUGUCUGUCUGGUGAUGUUCCCCUCCUAAUGCAGCAUGGCAAGAAAAUCCUCCAAAUAUUAAUGAUUAACCUGUUGAACUGGAGAUAGUUCACCUCCCAAUGACUUCAUAAAUAUCUGCUUCAAUUACCUUUGGUAAAUGAAAUAACCAAACAAUCAUUAUUUUCUGAUAUAGCUGUAAAACUAAUCUGAAAAGUUUUCAAAAUAAAUCACUUUAAAAAUGUAUAAUGUGUACUUUUUAAAAAUGAA